GCUUUGACCAUCAGGCAGCUCUAAGUCUGUCUAAAGUCAGAUGGAUGGAGGGGGCUGUGGGAGUUUGGGCUUACUCAGUAAUUAGGGCAGGUCAUCUUCCUGGGAUGAUUUCCAAAAGGAAGUAGAUGAAGUCCUCAAGGACAUAAUCUCAUGAAAUCCCAAAAGGCUCUGGUAGAAUUAUGAAUGGGAAGAUGACAAGUGCAAAUGACGCUCUUAUCAAAAACAAAAUGAAGGCAUAGCAAUGGAUGCAGAGUGAAUUACAGGCACAGGAAACAGCAGGAGACAUUCAGCAAAGAUUCUUUCUCUGCAGACAAGGUCAAAAACUUUCCAUCUUGCUCCUAUGGAAGCAGCAGCGUGUCCUAACUCCCCCAGAAAACCUGCAGUUCUAUUUCACCUUCACCCAAGCUGGGAACCUUUUUGAGUAACUUCUCAAAAGUCUCUGCCUCUUCAAAAAAAAAGGGUUUGAUAUCUCUGUCUCUGAAAGAAAGAUUGCACCAUACCCUCCAGUGCCUACACACCAGAAACACUGUUCUCUAGACCUUCAUUUAUUCUUGCAUGCAAGAAAAGAAGAGUUAACCAUCCCAACUCCAGCAUUCUGGGAAGCUGCAAGCAAAGAAAUGUAUUUCUACUCAACAAGAUGCUUCCUAAUAAUGAUCACUAUGCCUGAUUCCUUUAGCCCAAGUAAUAGUAAUAAUAAUAAUCUCUGACAUUUCUGUGCUUUUCUAUUUUUCAAGGAUCUAUCAAAGAUAGAUAGAUAGAUAGAUAGAUAGAUAGAUAGAUAGAUAGAUAGAUAGAUAGAUAGAUAUCAUUCUCAGGGGUCUACACCUCUGAAAUAAACAUGUCUUUAAGGGAAGAAGGAAAAACUCU
RNAcentral lists this long non-coding RNA (867 nucleotides) under Monodelphis domestica (gray short-tailed opossum). RNAcentral describes it as "lncRNA (ENSMODG00000033213.2)". The record is from RNAcentral. Lineage: Eukaryota; Metazoa; Chordata; Mammalia; Didelphimorphia; Didelphidae.